This 208-nucleotide long non-coding RNA is filed under the name Capsicum annuum. RNAcentral's name for it is "long non-coding RNA (CANN_LNC017602)". Lineage: Eukaryota; Viridiplantae; Streptophyta; Magnoliopsida; Solanales; Solanaceae. The record is from RNAcentral.
AUGCCCAUAUGCUUGACCUUAGUGUAAUACUCCACUAAUAUUAGAAUGCUAAGAUUAGGAUCAAAUAGGUCUUUUAUGGGUUGUAAUCUAGGCAAAAAGAUGGGUAGGAAGUAUUAUGGCUAGAAAUAGUGACUAUCUUCCCUAAGCACUUUAAUACACUACAUUAUGCAAUUAAGACCAAUCUUUAACAACCAAUUUCCACUUCUGC